This 1427-nucleotide long non-coding RNA is filed under the name Marmota monax (woodchuck). The record is from RNAcentral. Lineage: Eukaryota; Metazoa; Chordata; Mammalia; Rodentia; Sciuridae.
GCCCUGGAACCUGCCGGCUGCCCCUCGUUUAGAGGGACUUUUCUAGGUGACACUCUAGGUGCUAUCCACCUCGAAGAACACGGACUCAUCCUCACUCUGGGAAUGUGAAAAGCAGCCGUGUCUGGGCUAAGGAGCCGCCUUGGAUGAUUUACGCAUGACAGGGACCACACUCGGAGGUCACUACAUAGAGUCACCUCUUGGGAAACAAGCAACAAGAUCAGAGUCUGCCUGUCACCAACGAGGGGUGUUCUCACAGACAGGGCAGGAUUCUGGCUUCUGGGACAGGAAGGAUGAGAUGGUAUCUACAAACCGCGGUACAAGCCGUCUCAAAAAUAGAUUUUUUUCCUACAUCGAUGUUCUGAAGCUCGUCAGAGAAAAACCAAUCCUUCCUUCCCUCAGUUUCUCUCUCCACAGUACAAAGCCCCCGUCCCACAAAUGCAUGAAUCCUCACUUUACUUUUAAUAACCGAAGGGAGGAACCAAUGCACGUGUCCACCAACAGACGGGAAGACAAGCUCCUUGCAGUGUGGACACACAGGGACCCUGUUCAGCCUUGAUAAAUAAGGAAGAGAGUUCGCUAAGUGACACGAGCCAGGCACAGGGACAGAGAAUGCACGACUCCACUUCCAGGAGGCGGGACUCUAGAGUCCCCCCAACUCAAAACAGCUGGAAACUAGAGUGGGGGCUGCCAGAGGCUGGAGGGGACAUGGGGACGUGACUGCCCAGUGGACAGAGAACAGUGACUUGAAAUUUCUUCAUCUUGGGCAUCUAUGUACAGUUCCUAAUGGGCACAGCUUCAGUUUGGGAAGGUAAAGAGUGACAGCAGGGCCCCGUGGCCCACAUCUGCAGUCCCAGGGACUUGGAGGCUGAGGAACAUAAGUUCAAGGGCAGCAACUACUAAGACCCUCCCCCACAAUAACACACAGAAAAGGCUGGGGUGUGGCUACGGGUUAGGCACCCCUGGGUUCAAUUCCCAGAACCAGAGAAAUAAAAGGAAGGGACAGAGAUGGACGGUGUCAAAACAACGUGAGCUCAGUUAAUUUAAUGCUACCGAGCACCUAGAAGUGGAAGUAGGAAACCAAAAAUAUUUUAAAAAUUCAAAACAAAUAUGAGUUUCACCAUGACCCUGAGUGAUCACACCUGUGCUAGGCGAUCGUGUGACACUGGCCUCCAGCCUGUUCCGAGUGUGGGGUUUGGGAAUUCACUGCUGCCAACUCAUGCUGAGCAAGGACCCUGCCCCCCUUCGGUGCCGCGCUUCUUGCCCCAACCCACCCUGCGUGGCCAGAGCAGGGACAGACCGGGCAGAGACGCGGCAGGCACUUGGGGCCCUGAGCCACAGCUCACAGGAGCGAGAGAGAACAGAGCGAGGCUCUCGGAUCAGGUCGGACGACCUGCCAAGGCAGGAGGACAGCAAGAAGUCGCUGUCUG